This 76-nucleotide transfer RNA is filed under the name Deltaproteobacteria bacterium. Its description in RNAcentral is "tRNA-Lys". It matches the Rfam family "tRNA". From Rfam's summary of the family: Transfer RNA (tRNA) molecules are approximately 80 nucleotides in length. Their secondary structure includes four short double-helical elements and three loops (D, anti-codon, and T loops). The record is from RNAcentral. Lineage: Bacteria; Pseudomonadati; Myxococcota; Myxococcia. RNAcentral also lists the same sequence under 2 other names.
GGGUCGUUAGCUCAGCUGGUAGAGCAGCGGACUUUUAAUCCGUUGGUCGCGGGUUCAAUUCCCGCACGACCCACCA